GGCAGACCAGGGAAGAGAGCAGCUCUGCCACCUGCAGCUCCAGGGCAGAAGAGCUGAGUGAAGGCAGAAUCUCCCCCUACGACAACUGCCCCAAGCAGGGGAAAGCCCUAGGACUGCGCUGGCCCAGGAGGGUGGGCCAUAACCAGAGAGAGAUUGAGAUACCACACUACAUGGAGCCUUGUGGUAACUGAUGUCCUUUUUUGUGAUCCUCCAAAAACACACAAGCCUAGAGGAAGAAGUCCUUCAGAAGGGAAUGGAUUGAGGCUGUGGCUGACAGUGGCGUCCUUUCACCCUGACCUCUGCACCAGAAGAAGCCUUCUUCUCCAUCCACAGCUGAGCAGCAGGGGGCUGGGAAGAGAAGCUAAUUGAUGCUUUUCAGCAGCAGGAACCAAAGACACCCAGGCAGGAGAGCUUUGAUCCCAUACUGAGGGCUGCAGGAAACAGCCAGCCAGGGCUGCUGUGGGACUGUGCCGUCAUCCUUUGUCCUAAAGGACUGGCUAUUUCACAUUGUCGUAUCUGGUCCACGUCUGUGCUGCCUUUGUCCAUGCCUCUGAGUGGAACCCCCAUGCCAUGGAGGCCCUGAGAAGGAACCGGGAGUUGAACGGCAUGCAGGAUCAGUGUCAGAUUCACCAAGAGGAUAUCAGGCAGGAGGGGCCGAGGUGAAGCCUGCCAGCCAGACGACCCUUAGAGCUCUGCAUGCAGCCUCCGGCCACCCUCACAUUUGGAAUGGAGCUGCGGACACUACAGAGGGCCAGAUUUCCAGAAGAGCUCAGCACACUGGUGCUGAGCUUGCACAUCUGUUACCAAUGUGCAGGUUACUGGACUUCCACCAGCUGAGGUUCAGGCCUUGUAACCUUAGGCUCUGAUCCAUUUGGGCGGACCCUCACCCCUACACGGAGUACAGAAGUCAAUGGCCUACAGGGGGUCAAGGAUCAGAUUGCAGGAGCGGGGCCUAUUAUUCUGUUACCUUUGGUCUUAAAAAAAAAAAAAUUAAUCCCUGCAGCUUCCCUGUGACAAGAGCAAAAGUGCAAUGAUGGAGGAAGAAGCAUGAUGCUAUGCUGGGAGCAUUUUGGCGACAUGUAUAAUGUUUACUGGAACCCCCUAAGAAAGAUCCAAAUCUUGAAAGUUAAUAACCAGCAUAAGAUAGCAAUAAGAUAAAAGCCAGCGUUGGGGAUGGAGUUAAAGGAGUGAGUGAUGCCCCAGAUAGGGGAAGCUGAGAUGAUCAGUUAAUUAACUGCUGUGUCCGCUGUCUAAGGACGAGCUUGCCCAGCCAUAAUGGAUUCAACUGACCAAAGUCUCAUCUCUCCCUAACGAAUAUGGUGGACCCCUCUCUCUUUGGGCUGAGCGACUGCAAACUGUCACACGGCACCAUGUCAGUCCACACUCAAGGUUUUCUUCAGCCCCGUUAGGACUGGAAACUUGGGUGGUUUUGUGUUUGUUCACUUUUAGUAAAAGCUUAAAUUCUGCACAGCCCACAGCAGCUAUGAGAAAAGUGCUGCUAUAACAUACAAGCCUGGACUGGCUCAACCUGACCCCUGCUUGGUGAGCAAUUCCUCCAGUCUUUGCAUCCAUCUCUCUGUGGAAAACCCAGGGCCUGGGACAGCUGCCUCUGUCUCACAAAUGUCUUGGGAUAGCAGGGCGGAGAGGAAGCCUGUGAGGGAGAAGGAUGUGGUAGCCAAUUCCCUCUGUGACUCCAUCAAAGGAACAGCAUUGGCUGGCACUUGCAGAAGCAGUUGCUAGAUACCCAGGCUACAAGAACAAUAAAUCUCAGGGCUCCGAGCUGUUUGCAGACAUAGAGGAACAGAUUCUCUGACUUGCUUCAUUCAGGUGGUGGAAAGAGAAUUGGGACUGCCCCUUAGCUGGGAACAAACUCAGCAUGGGGGGGUCCCCAGCCGAUAUAGAUCCAGCAGAGUUGGCUCAUGCCUCUCCCUUCUCCACAGCCUCUGGCACAGGGGCCUGUCCAUCCAGGCUGGAGAAAGGCAGGGACUACUGUCCACUGGCACACCUUACAGCAGCCCAAAGGAUGCUCUAACUUGAACUUGCAGCUGGACAGAGAGCAAGGGAGCUGUAAGUAGAUGCCUGGCAGCUUUGCCCCUUUGCUGCAUGCAGCAGAAGCUGGACACAGGGAAGAAUCUGGCUCAGAGGGUGACUUUGCCUGGCACUUUGCAGAGGGAGCUUCCACUGGGGAGCACCUUUGUGUGUGUGUGUGUUUGUACACAUUUAGUUUUAUUGCAGCAAAGCAACUUCUUCACUUUAAUGUUUAAACUAGCAUCUUUCUUUCCUUUCCAGUGAACCAAAAAAAAAAAGAAUUUAAAAAUAAACAAGAACAAAAUUACAAUAGAGCACAUGCUGAACAGGCUCCGCUCUCAGGUGUCAGCAACACUGGGUGCGUGGCUCAGCUCACAGCUCUGGGAGGGUCCUGAGCUAUUGGAACAGCUGGCUUUUCUCUUCCUGCUUAACAGGGAAUGGUGUCAACUCCAGUGAAAAAGCAGGGAGGGGGGAGUGAUGCAGGACAAAACGCCUGAGCCAGCAGAAAGCCUGCGGUGAAGGUUUCCGAGGAGUCAGCUCCCUGGCCACAGCUGCUGCUCCGCUGUAGUCUGCUUCCUCCACGCCUGUGGUUUGCACAUUUCUCCCAGCUUGCUGGGCCAUUUAGGAACAAAGCAGAGAUUCUCUUUUAGCCCUGGGCAGGGGGAAUGCUUUUAGUGCCGCUUUGUUUGGAAAUCCACAGGAUGCCCUUUGCCCGGGUCUGAGUGGAUUAGGAAUUCCAGAGACAGGGCAUCAUGCAUGUCUGUUUUACAGUGCAGGAUGUUUUGACGCAGAUCCCAGCCUGGCUCGUGGAUCACACAGUCAUGGUGCCUGGGGUCAAGUAGCUCGUUAUAGGGUAACUGCUACAACCUUUGGCCCGCUCUGAGGAAGCUCAAUGAGUCUAUGGAAAGAUACAAAGAUCGACUUGCUAGAAAUGGUUCAGGUUUAGCAGCUGGAUGCAGCUGCCUUUACUGUAACAUUUUUUAAGGGCCAAAUCCUAGUUCCAAUAAAGUCAGUGGCAAAGUUCCCAUUGACCAGGGCCAAGACCUUGGCUUGGAGUAUUAAAGCAACAUCCCUAGCAAAUAAGAGCAUCUCAGCCUUUCAGGGCAGCUUUCAGUUCCUGGGCUGUGGCUUUUGUCAAAGCAGGACAUUGGACAAGGAGGAAGGAAAAGGAAGAGGAGGAAAGAGGACAAAUCAUAACUGAAAGUGGUGCCCUCAUUUCAAACAAGCCUUCACGUGAUCUACAGCACAUUCCAGCUCAAAUGAUCCUCAAGCACUACCUGUCACAGUGUGGGAUAGAUAGAGAGGGGCUACUGCAUCCGUCUCCAAAAUGUAGCCACCCCAGGAUGGAACAUGGCAGCUGUUUGACAGUUUAGGACAGGAAGUGAAGAAUACCAUAGCCAACUGAAAGCAUCAGGGGGGAUUUCAAGAGGAAAAAUAUAAUUAUCAGUGUUUGAAUGAGGCCAGGACACUGGGGUUAACACCCUGCCU
Molecule: long non-coding RNA, 3516 nt
Organism: Chelonia mydas (Green sea turtle)
Lineage: Eukaryota; Metazoa; Chordata; Testudines; Cheloniidae
Exons: 6
Source: RefSeq, a predicted model, not a curated record